RNAcentral lists this ribosomal RNA (548 nucleotides) under uncultured beta proteobacterium. Its description in RNAcentral is "bacterial SSU rRNA". It matches the Rfam family "Bacterial small subunit ribosomal RNA", at positions 355 to 896 of the family's 1533-position model. Lineage: Bacteria; Pseudomonadati; Pseudomonadota; Betaproteobacteria. The record is from RNAcentral.
UGGGGAAUUUUGGACAAUGGGCGCAAGCCUGAUCCAGCAAUGCCGCGUGCAGGAUGAAGGCCUUCGGGUUGUAAACUGCUUUUGUACGGAACGGAACGGUUCUUUCUAAUACAGAGAGCUAAUGACGGUACCGUAAGAAUAAGCACCGGCUAACUACGUGCCAGCAGCCGCGGUAAUACGUAGGGUGCGAGCGUUAAUCGGAAUUACUGGGCGUAAAGCGUGCGCAGGCGGUUUUGUAAGACAGGUGUGAAAACCCCGGGCUUAACCUGGGAACUGCAUUUGUGACUGCAAGGCUAGAGUACGGUAGAGGGGGAUGGAAUUCCGCGUGUAGCAGUGAAAUGCGUAGAUAUGCGGAGGAACACCGAUGGCGAAGGCAAUCCCCUGGACCUGUACUGACGCUCAUGCACGAAAGCGUGGGGAGCAAACAGGAUUAGAUACCCUGGUAGUCCACGCCCUAAACGAUGUCUACUAGUUGUCGGGUCUUAAUUGACUUGGUAACGCAGCUAACGCGUGAAGUAGACCGCCUGGGGAGUACGGCCGCAAGAUUG